This is a non-coding RNA of Oryctolagus cuniculus (rabbit), 11583 nucleotides long. The record is from RefSeq and is a predicted model, not a curated record. NCBI's taxonomy places the organism in Eukaryota, Metazoa, Chordata, Mammalia, Lagomorpha, Leporidae.
CCGCGGUGAAAUGCGGAGUUUCUGGCAAACCUGCAAUGAGAAGAAAUCGGAAGCGACCAGCAUUACUUGUUGGGACGACCUACUAUUGGGGAAUGUUUUCCAAAGCAAGGCAGAUUUUCCUUUGGUUGGUUGUUUGAUAAUCCAACUGAGUAUAUUCUAUUUAUCUUGAUUUUUCUCAAAUGUUUUUAGAUCAUUAGAAAUUCUACAAAUAAAACACAGUAUCUUUUACAAUACUUUUUUGGUAAUACUUGAAAGACCCUGGAAGGUGAUGGAGAUUUUAUUAUAUAAGCUUUUAAAAAUGAAGUAAAAAAUCGUAAGGACAAAGCAUAAAGGUAAUUUUUCCUUUCUUCCCAGAUGAGAAGGGUAGCUAAAUAUCCUAACUUCUUGAAUUGGCCAUGACAAGACAUUUAUGUACUAUAAUAGCACUGCCACAGGGAAGUCGGUGCUGAACCGUCAUAGCCCUGUAAUACUGUCAUUCAUUUCCAAGUCUAGUAAGAUUUCAUAACACUUUGUAAAUUUUUAUAAUGGAAAUGCGGAGUUUUGUUAUAAAUGCAAAAAUCCCGUGAUCAGUUGGUCGUUUAAUAGUGAAUGGAAAGAACAGCGUCCUUGUCAUCCGCAGAGAAACUGAGUAGAAUGACAACCUGUUCCUAUGGCUUCUGCCAGACUCACUAGUUAAUCCAUUUAUGCAAGUUGGAAUCCAAAGAAUCAUGUUGACACUUUUCUUCUCCCUUAAUCUCCAUAUGCAAUCCAUCACCAAGUCCUGUCAGUCUUACUUUCUAAUCAUCUAAAUCCAUCCUCUGCCUCUCUCAGGUUAUGUUAUGUUCACCAGACCAACUAACCCACCUAACCCUUUCUCUUCACUGGUGUUGAAUUUUGAGCAUCUACUACUAAUUCAUGUAUUAUUUGAUAUUUAAUUGUAUGCAUGUACUAGUGAAAAAUGGUACAAAUUCUAAUGAAUGAGUUGCAGGCUCUGGAACCAGAUCUCCUGGGUUUGAAUCCUGUCUGAUACUUCCUGGCAGUGACCAUCAGCUCUGCUUAACUUUUCUGUCUUAUUCUUUUCUCCCUGUAAAAUGAGGUUAGUAAGAGUAUCAGCCUCACAGAGAAUGAAGAUUAAAUGAAGAAUGUAUGUGAACAAAUAUAUAGUGUUCAGAUACAUAGUAUGUGCUUAAUAAAAGCUAACUAUAAGUAGUACUUUGGAGCUAACACACUGAAUAUUACAUUUUAAAGAUUUUUUAAAAGAUGAAGAAAAAAUAGAAUUAAAAUAUAACAUCCCACCUUAAAGUAUGCCACUUUGAGAACACUCCUCUACACUGCAGCUGCUGUUAUUUUGAAAAGUAAAUCUGAUAAUGUUAUUAUGCUGUUUAAACCCCUUCAGUGUCUUCCUGUUACUCUGAUGAAAGCCCCCUUUGAACUGUCUACUACCUCUCCAACUUCCUUUCCAAACAUAUUCUGUCACGUGGCCUUGCGGGCCUUUUUAGUAUCUCCUAGGCCUUUGCAUGUUGUUGCCUCUGCCUGUAAUUCUCCACCAAGCCUAGCUUACCCUUUUUGUCUUAUUCCACUAAUUUUCUCUAUUAGAUCCUCUUGUAGUACUAUGUAUAUUCCCCAUAUUACACUCUGAACCAUUUUAAUUAUUUAAUUCAGUCUCCCCAGUAGGCUGUUUCUUGAAGUCAAAAACAAUGUUUUGUUUAUCUUUUUAUCUCCAGAAAUUAACCCAGUGCCUGCCAUUGUCAGUACUCUGGAUAAAAUGAAUGAACUUGGCAUUCCUUGGUGGAUUUCUGUUUUUAAUGUUUCUACCGUCUGUGGAACAUGGAAUCAAACCAGAAUAUGUUGGCAUAACAGGCCAGUCAAACCGGUUCUUCAGUAGAUCCAGAACUCGUCUGACCAGUCUGCAUCAAAGACUAGCUCAACAUGCUGCAGCGGCUCAACUCUGCAAAACUUGUACUGGAAAAUGUCUGGAAGAUUACAAAAGAAAAACAUAUAAAACUGUACUGGGAAAUGUGAUUACAAGCUGAAGAGAGAGGUGUUGUUCGUUUUCAUGGACUCAGAGUAUGCUGGCACUACGGUGAAUUUCUCCUCAUAGGAAGUAACACAAGAUGAUACAUAUGGUCAUCCAAACAGGCAAGAAGUUAGAAGAAAAUGGGUGAGUCUUAACAGUGACUUUUAUCUCAAUAUGUCUGUUCUACCCAGGCCUAGCUUCACUGGUGUGUGACCUGUGCUCAGAAAGGUUCAGGACUAAUGUAAUGAUCUGUUUUAGAAUUUUUAACUAUUUUUUGAUAAUGGGCACCACAUUUUCAUUUUGCACAGUAUUCUAAAUUAUGUGUUUGGCUGUUGCCCUGCCAUAUUUACACUUGUUUGCAGUGACCUAAUAAAUAUGGUCACCAUCAAAAGUAAGGUCUAGGGGCCGGCAUUGUGGUGCAUAGCAGGUAAGCUGUCUGUUCCACCUGUGAUCCAACACCGUGCUAUUGGCCUGAGUAAAGCAGCAGAAGAUGGCCCGAGUGUUUAGGCCCCCAUUUCCCACAUGAGACACCUUGAUGAAACUCCUAGCUCCUGGCUUUGGCCUGGCCCAGCCCUGACCGUUAUAGCCAUCUAGGGAGUGAACCAGCAGAUGGAAGAUCUCUCUAUGUAUCUUUCUGUCUUUUUCUCUAUAUAUCUCUGAUUUUUAAAUAAAUGAAUAAGUCUUAAAAAGUAAGGGUUACUACUAUUAUUAUAGUUAUUAAUAAGUGCUUUGUUGAUAUGGAUCUCUGGAUGAAAGGUUUUGAACUCUCUCAUCAUAUUAAGCAAAUAUAUUUCUCUCAAAUACAGAAAAAUAGCAUCAUCUAUAUUAUUAUUUCUAAUAAAAUAUAACAGGUAAGGAAAGAAAUAAGACCUAAGAUAUACGGUCUUCAGGGUUAUGUUGGAAACACUGAGGCUAACUUUUGGCUCUAAGAGGAAUUGCUCUUCUAUUGUUCCAGGAAAUGAAGCCUUUAAGACCUUGACUCAAAGCUACAGACACAAAGAAAAAAUUUCUUUCUGUGGAAAGUUUUUCUUUGAGAAUAAAAUAAGAAAUCGUAUGUAUCUAUUAUGGCUUGGCAACAGGUAUAUAUAUUACCUAAACAAUAAUAAAAAGAGACUAUUUUCCCUGAAGAAUCUAAAAUCAUUGAGGGGAAUUGAAUCUCUUUGGUUUGAAGAGAAACUUUCCCUACAGGCUGAUACUUGUCUUUAGAAAUGGAAGUAAUUUCUGGUUAAAAAUUAUUUCCUGAAGGAAUAAAUAUCUAAUACCUGACAUAAGGGUGCCUCAGAAUGUCAUUAUUUCCAUUUUUGACAUCCAAUGUACAAAUCAUGUGCCAAUUGGGAGCCUUUCCCCAACAUAGUGAAGAAACAGUCUCUUCAAUUAUGGUUUGCAGGUUAGGCUAACCAGUCCUUGUGGGACAUAACACAUGAUAUAAUAAUAUAAAUAAUAUACAGUUGGGUCCUUUCAAAUAACUUACCCAAUUGUAUGUUCACAAUACACAGAACCUUGCCAUGGCAAGUCAAGAAAUCUUACUACCCAAAGCAGCUGUGGGCUAAAAGAAUGCCAGGGCUUGCAGAGACAGAUAUAUUGGAGGCUUAUAAUGUGUGGGUAGAACUGCAAGACCUCAUGCUGAUGCACAGAUAUCACAUCUAGAAUUAAAUGCAGAGGGCCUUUCAGUACCUUCUUAGCACCUAGAAGGUUACCCUGUACUCCUUUUUUUAGAGCAAAUAUUUCAUAAAGCUAUUCUCUCUUUUUUAAAAUAUUCAUUUAUUUAUUUGAAAGAAUUACAGAAAGAGAGAGAGAGAUUGAUUAUCUUCCAUCCACUGGUUCAUUCCCUAGAUGACUGCAAUGGCCAGGGUUGGGUCAGGCUGAAGCCAGGAGCCAAAAGCUUUUUCCAGGUCUCCCACAUGGAUGCAGAGGCCGAAAUACUUGAACUUCUACUCUACUUUCCCAGGACUUAAACCAGUGCUCAAAUGGGAUGCCAGAAUUGCAAGCAAUGGCUUAACCAGCUAUGCCACAAUGCUGGCUCCAAGCAUGAAAGUCUUAUAAUUCGGGGUGGUGUUGUGGCAUAAUGAGUUAAGUCCUGGUUGCUCCUCUUCAGAUGCAACUCCCUGCUGAUGGCCCUGGGAUGGCUCCUGGCUUCGGCCUGGCCCAGCCCCAGCCGUUGCAACCAUUUGAGGAGUGAACCAGUGGGUGAAAUCUCUCUCUCUCAGCCUUUCAAAUAAAUAAAUAUUAAAAAAAGAAAGUCUUGUAAUUCACUGGGCAUCAGAUGGAAUACUCAGAAAAGAUGCUGUCUCAAUGAUGUGGCAAUUUAACCUAGACUAACAUCUAUUCUGAUCCAACCUAACAAAGCUUAAAUGUGGGGUUGAAAGGAUCAAAUCAUUUUCAAGUAAGUUAAUUGGAUCUCAGAACAGAGUUCAGAAUUAAAUUAUGAAUACAAACAUAUCCAGUAUUCAACAAAAUAAAAUCACAAAGUAUGGCAUUAGCAUUGGACAGUAAAGAUCACCAAGCAUGCAAAGAAUCAGACAAAUAUGACCCAUAAUAAGAAAAGGCAGUUUUAGGAACAGGUAUAUCACACAGCAGAUUAAGCAGCUCAUACCAAAGUGCUUGAGGUAGAGUCCCGCCUCCACUUUCAAAUCCAGCAUCCUUCUAAUGAUCCUGGGAGGCAGCAGAUGACAGCCCAAGUACUUGGGUGACUGUGAUUCUGGUGGGAGUCCUUUAUACAGGUCCUGGUAUGGCCAGCAAGUAGAGGAUCUCUCUUCCUCCGUUUCUCCCUCUGUGUCACUCUGCUUUUCAAAUAAAUAAGUAAAUAAAUCUUUUUUUAAAGACAGUUAUUAGGAACAGACUUAGAAAUUACAAAAGUUAGAAUUAGGUAGAGACAUUGAAAUAGUUAUAACUAUAUAUGUUUAAAAAGGUACUGAAAAUAGUGGCCAUGUCAAGUGGAGACAAUACUAAAAAGACCCAAAUUUGACUGUUAUAACAAAAGAAUGAAUAUCUCUGAGCUGAAACAUGCAUUGGAUGAGAAUAAGGACAGAAUAGGCUCUGUGGUAGAAAAUGUGGGCAAUACUCAUGAGAAAAACAAUGCAGAGUGAAAAACAACACCGGACAGAACAGUAUCCCACCAAAUUCACGGCCACUUGGAACCUCAAAAUGUGACUUUAUUUGGAAAAAGAGUGUUUGCAUAAAUAAUUAGUUAAGAUGAAAUCACACUGAAUUAAGGUGGACUCUACCUCAGUGAUUGGUGUCAUUAUGAAAAGGCCACGUACAGACAUAAGGAUGUGUAGACAUAGAGGCAGAGGUUGGAGUGAUGCAUCUAAGCCAUGGAAUGCCAAGAAUUGCUGACAAUGACCAGAAACUGGAGAGAGGCAUGGGACAAUUUUUUCUCACAAUGUCCAGAGGAAACCCCCCUGUUGAUAGCUUGAUUUGAGUCCUCAUGACUUAAACCUAAACCUUAAAAUUUCCACUCUUCAUACCAUUGCAUUGAAGAUUAUGUUUCCAACUCAUGAAGUUUGGGUGACACAUUCAAACCAAAGUUUAUACACAGAAUCUUGGCAAAGAGUUGCAACUAAUAUAACAGCCAGGAGAUAAAAUGGAAUUGUAAAAGACAAUCCCCCCAAAAUUUUAAGACAGGAAAAGAGGAAAAUACGUACAUAGAAUAGGUGGGCCAGAGGCUGGAGCUGUGGCGUAGCCAAUAAAGCCUCCACCUAGCAGUUGCGGCAUUUCAUAUGGGUGCCGGUUCGAGUCCUGGCUGCUCCACUUCUGAUUGAGCUCUCUGCUAUGGUCUGGGAAAUCAGUAGAAGAUGGCCCAAGUCCUUGGGCCCUUGCACCCACGUGGGAGACCCAGAAGAAGCUCCUGGCUCCUGGCUUUGGAUUGGUGCAGCUCUGGCCAUUGCAGUCAACUGGGGACUGAACCAGCGGAUGGAAGACCUCUCUCUCUGUCUGCCUCUCCUUCUCUCUCUGUGUAACUCUGAUUUUCAAGUAAAAUAAAUAAAUCUUUUAAAAAUAAUAUGAAGAUUAAUGGAGAUAUUGACCAUUUUUUGUUUAAUGCAGAUAUAGUACAUGCCAAUUUUUCCAUGUUGUACUUCUGGAAUUAUUGUGUUCUCUCAAAAAUCAGACCAACUGAAAAAUUGUUCUUCCUAGGUUGGAAUAGAAAUCCUGUUAAGACAUUAUGACUUUAUUCAGGCAGAGUUUUUUGGCUUUGUUUUUUAAGCAAACAAAGCAUAACACAGGAUUCAGUUGAACUCUUAGCCUAUUUUAAAACUUCUGCUCUAUAAGUUUUUUAUUGCUUUGUAACAAAUAGCUACAAAUGUGUUUUCUUAAAAUAAUAUAGUUAUUUUCACAGUUUUUUCCCCAAGAUAUGACCAUUUCAUUACUAUAUUCUAUAUCUGAGAAAACAUAUGCAAUGUGUCUUUUUUAUUUUUUAUUUUAUUUUAAUUAAUUAAUUAAUUAAUUAAUUUUUUUUUGACAGGCAGAGUUAGCCAGUGAGAGAGAGAGACAGAGAGAAAGGUCUUCCUUCUGUUGGUUCACCCCCAAAAUGGCUGCUACGGGCUGGAGCUAUGCCGAUCCAAAGCCAGGAGCUGGGUGCUUCCUCCUGGUUUCCCAUGCAAGUGCAAGGAUCCAAGCACUUGUGCCAUCCUCCACUGCCCUCCCGGGCCACAGCAGAGAGCUGGACUGGAAGAGGACCAACCGAGACAGAAUCUGGCACCCCAAUCGGGACUAGAACCCAGGGUGCCAGUGCCGCAGGCAGAGGAUUAGCCAUGUGAGCCGCAGCACCAGCCUGCAUGUGUCUUUUUGAGACUGGCUUAUUUCACUAAGCAUAAUGGUUUUCAGAUGCAUCUAUUUUGUUGCAAGAAACACGACUUCAUUCUUUUCUAUGGCUGAGCAGUAUUCCAAAGUGUAUAUAUACACCACUUUUUCUUUAUCUAGACAUCAGUUGAUGGACAUCUGGGUUGAUUCCAUAUUUUAGCUAUUUUGAAUUAAGCUGCAAUAAUUAUAGGGGAUACACAUUACCCUUUAAUAUGUUCAUUUUAUAUGGGCAAAUUCCCAGGAGUGGGAUUAUUGGGUUAUAUGGUAGAUCUACUUUCAUACCUCUUCCAUAAUGGUUGUACUACUUUACAUUAUGACAAACAGUGGGUUAGGGUACCUUUUUCCCCACAGCCUCGUCAGUGUUUAUUUUUGAUUUAUGGAUGAUAGCCAACCUAAAUGAGAUGAGGUGACAUGUCAUUGUGGCUUUUAUUUGCAUUUUCCUGAUGGCUAGUGAUCCUGAGCAUUUUUUCAUAUGUCUGUUGGCCAUUUGAAUGUCAUCCCUUAAAAAUUGCCUGUUUGUGUCCUUUGCUCAUUUCAUAACUGGAUUGUUUGUUCUGUUGUGGAAUUUCUUGAGCUCUUUAUAGAUCCUGGAUAUUAAUCCCUUACAUGUUGCAUAGUUUGAAAUAUUUUCUUCCAUUCUAUUGGUUGCCUCUUCACCUUGUUGAGUGUUUCCUUUGCAGUGCAGAAGCUUCUUAGCUUGUUGUAAUCCCAUUUGUCCAUCUUUGUCUUUAUUGCCUGUGCUUCUGGGGUCUUUUCCAAGAAGUCUUUGCCUAUGCCAAUGUCUUAAAUAUUUUCCCUGAAGUUUUAAGCUAAUAGCUUGAUGUUAUCAUGACUUGAUAACAUCUACAAACAGGAAUAAUUUCAUUUCCUAUUUUUCCAUUUGUAUCCCUUUGAUUUCUUUUUCUAGUCUAAUGUCUCUGGCUAAAAUGUUGAGAACUAAUUGAAUAGAAAUGGUGAAAGUAGGUGUCCUUUUCUGCUUCUGGAUCUUAGUGGACAUGCUUUCUUUUUUUUAAAGAUGUAUUUAUUUAUUUGAAAAUCAGAGUUACAGAGAGAAGGAGAAGCAGAAAGAGAGAGGUCUUCCUUCCACUGGUUCACUCCCCAACUGGCCACAAUGGCUGGAGCUGCAUCCAUCUGAAGCCAGAAGCCAGGAGCUUCUUCCAGGUCUCCCACGCUGGCACAGAGUCCAAGGAUUUGGGCCAUAUCCUACUGCUUUCCCAGGCCACAGCAGAGAGCUGGAUCAGAUAUGGAGCAACCAGGACUCAAACCUGUGGGGAGCAACUCGGACUAGACUAAGUUACUGGAAUUAAGACUUAUUCUAUGCAUCUGCUCUCCCACAGUAUGGCGCUGGGAGAGGAGUAAACAACUUUUACACAGCUGCCUCCAGUUCGACCAAUAACCUCCAGGAGCUGAUCCUGCUCCUGAUUGGAGGAGAGCAGCAUGCUCGGCGUGUGGGUAGCAGAGUUGGGAUUGGUGGAAGAGGACUAUAAAGGAGGAGAGAGACAACAUGCACCAGGAACAUCUAAGGGGAACAUCCGGAUAACAUCUGAGCAGCCCCCGAGAGAGCCGGCCGGCGGUGUGCCGCUCCCCCGCGGAAGUGGGGAAAGUGGCAGGGGGAGCCGCCCUUCCACGGAGGUGGAAGGAUCGGCAGCCAACCCGGGAAGAACCAGCAGCAAACCCGGGAAGGGCCGAGCAGACAAAAGAACAGCGCAGGGUCCUGUGUCAUUCCUCCACAAAUGGGGGAGCGACAAAACCAGUGCCCAUAUGGGAUGCCAGCACUGCAGGUGGUGGCUUUACCAACUACACCACAGCGCCAGCCCCAGGAAAUGCUUUAAAUUUUUCCUCAUUCAAUAUGAUACUAGCAGUGGAUUUAUCAUAUAUUGCCUUGAUUAUGUUGAGGAGUGUUUAUUCUAUUCCCAAAUGCUUAAGGUUUUUAUCAUUAGAGGAUGUUGUGUUUUAGUAAAUGCAUUCUCUAAAUCUACUGAGAUAAUCAUAAGGUUUUUAUUCAUUACUUUAUUAAUGUGAUGCACUACAUUUAUUGAUUUGCAUAUGUUGAAUCAUCACGCAUACCAGGGAUAAAUCCUAAUUGGUCUGGGUGAAUGAUCUUUCUGAUAUGUUGUUGGAUUCCAUUAGCUAGUAUUUUGUUCAGAAUUUUGAGUCUGUUCAUCAAGGAUAUUGGUCUAUAAUCCUCUUUCUUUGUUUUAUCUUUUUCUGGUUUUGGAUUUUUUUUAAAAGAUUUAUUUAUUUAUUUAAAAGUCAGAGUUACACAGAAAGAGAAGGAGAGGAAGAGGCACAGAGUGAGUUCUUCCAUCUGCUAGUUUACUCCCCAGUCGGUUGCAAUGACUGGAGCUGUGCCAAUCGGAAGCCAGGAGCCAGGAGCUUCUUCUGGUCUCACACAUGGGUGCAGGGACCUAAGGACUUGGGCCAUCUUCUACUGAUUUCCCAGGCCACAGCACAGAGCUGGAUUGGAUGUGGAGCUGCUGGGACUUUAACUGUUGCUCAUAUGGGAUAUUGGCAUUGCAGGUGGUAGCUCUGCUCACUACACCACAGUGUUGGCCCUUGGUUUUGGUAUUAAGGUGGUUCUGGCCUUAUAGGAGGAGUUUGGGAGGAUUCCCUCUGUUUCAAUUGUUUUGAAUAAUUGGAGAAGAAUUGCAAUUGAUUAUUUUUUAAAAUUUUGUUAAAAUUAAUUACUAAAGCCAUCCAGUCCUAGGCUUUUCUUUGUUGGGAGUGUGUUUAUUACUGAUUCAGUCUAUCUUGGUUAUUGCUCUGUUUAGUUUUUUAGAUCUUCAUGACUCAAUUUUGGUAGGUUGUGUUUGUCCAGGAAUCUAUCCAUUUCUUCUAGAUUUUCCAAUUUUUUGGUAUUUAGCUGUUUGUAGUAAUUCCUGGUGAUUCUUUUUAUUUCUGUUGUUACAUUUCCUUUUUCAACUCUGAUUUUAUUUAUUUGGGUCUUUCCCCCUUUUUUGGUUAGCUGGGCUAGUGGUAUAUCAAUUUUGUUUAUUUUUUCAAAAAACAAGCUCUUAAUUUCAUUGAUUAUUUUUGUAUUUUUUGGUUUAAAUUUUGUUUAUUUCUUCUCUAACUUUAAUUAUUUUUUCUACUACUAAUUUUGGGUUUGGUUUGUUGUUUUUCUAGGGCCUAGGAUGCAUUGGUAGAUACUUUGUGUGAUGCCUUUCCAAUUUCUUGAUGUAGGAAAAUAAUUGCUAUAAACUUCUCUCUUAACACUGCUUUUGCUGUACAUAGGGGUUGUUUUAGAUUUAUUUUAUUUAUUUGAAAUAGUUAAAGAGAGAGAGGUGGAGAGAGAGAGAGAGAGAGAAAAGAGAGAGAGAGAGAGGUCUUCCAUCCACUGGUUCACUCCCCAAAUGGCCACAAUGGCCAGAGCUGAGCUGAUCCAAAGUCAGGAGCCAGGAGCUUCUUCAGGGUCUCCCAUAUAGGUGCAGGGGCCCAAGGACUUGGCCAUCCACUGCUGCUUUUCCAGGCACAUUUGCAGGGAGCUGGAUCCAAAGUGGAGUAGCUGGGACAUGAACUGGUGCCCAUAUGGGAUGCCAACACUGCAGGCCGGGGCUUUAAGCUGCUGUGCCACAGUGCCGACCCCUCCCAUAAGUUUUGAUAUGUUGUGUUGUCAUCUUCAUUCAUUUCCAGGAAUUUUUUGAGUUCCCUUUUGAUUUCUUCUAUGACCCACUGUUGAUUCAGCAGUAUGAUGUCAGUCUUCAUGUGACUGCAUAUUUUCUAGAGUUUCAUAAAUUAUUAAUUUCCAACUUCAUUCCAUGGUGGUCAGAAAAGGUACAAGGUAUAAUUUCAAUGUUUCUGAAUUUGCUAAGACUUGCUUUAUGGCUUCUCAUAUAGACUAUCCUAGAGAAAGUUUCAGGCACUGAUGAGGAGAAUGUAUAUUCCACAACUGUGGGAUGAAAUGUUUUGUAGAUAUCAAUUAUAUCCAUUUGGUCCAUAAGGUAGACUAACUCUGUUUUUUGUUUGUUUGUUUGUUUUUUGCUUCUUUUUUUUUUUUAACUUUUAUUUAAUGAAUAUAAAUUUCCAAAGUACAGCUUAUGGAUUACAAUGGCUUCCCCCCCCAUAACUUCCCUCCCACCUGCAACCCUCCCCUUUCUUGCUCCCUCUCCCCUUCCAUUCACAUCAAGAUUCAUUUUCAAUUCUCUUUAUAUGCAGAAGAUCAGUUUAGUAUAUAUUAAGUAAGGAUUUCAAUAGUUUGCACCCACAUAGAAACACAAAGUAAAAAAUACUGUUUGAGUACUAGUUAUAGCACUAAAUCACAAUGUACAGCACAUUAAGGACAGAGAUCCCUCAUGAGGAGUAAGUGCACAGUGACUCCUGUUGUUGACUUAACAAUUGACACUCUUGUUUAUGGCAUCAGUAAUCACCUUAGGCUCUUGUCAUGAGUUGCCAAGGCUAUGGAAGCCUUUUGAGUUUGCUGACUCUGAUCAUAUUUAGACAAGGUCAUAGUCAAAGUGGAAGUUCUCUCCUCCCUUCAGAGAAAGGUACCUCCUUCUUUGAUGACCUGUUCUUUCCACUGGGAUCUCACUCACAGAGAUCUUUCAUUUAGGUCAUUUUUUUUUUUGCCAGAGUGUCUUGGCUUUCCAUGCCUGAAAUACUCUCAUGGGCUUUUCAGCCGGAUCCGCAUGCAUUAAGGGCUGAUUCUGAGGCCAGAGUGCUGUUUAGGACAUCCGCCAUUCUAUGUAACUCUGUUUUUUUUUUGUUGUUGUUGUUGAUUUUCUGUUUAAUUGAUCUGUCCCUUGAUGAAAGUGGGGUUUGAAGUCCCUCAUUAUUGCAUUGGAGUCAGC